Molecule: ribosomal RNA, 301 nt
Filed under: uncultured bacterium
Lineage: Bacteria
Description: partial 16S ribosomal RNA
Rfam family: Bacterial small subunit ribosomal RNA
Source: RNAcentral
CAGCAGCCGCGGGAAUACGUAGGGUGCGAGCGUUAAUCGGAAUUACUGGGCGUAAAGCGUGCGCAGGCGGUUAUAUAAGACAGAUGUGAAAUCCCCGGGCUCAACCUGGGAACUGCAUUUGAGACUGUAUGGCUAGAGUGUGUCAGAGGGGGGUAGAAUUCCACGUGUAGCAGUGAAAUGCGUAGAUAUGUGGAGGAAUACCGAUGGCGAAGGCAGCCCCCUGGGAUAACACUGACGCUCAUGCACGAAAGCAUGGGGAGCAAACAGGAUUAGAUACCCAGUAGUCCCUGUCUCUUAUACA